UACGUAGGUGGCAAGCGAUACUCGGAAUCACUAGGCGUAAAGCGCAGGUAGGCGGUUUGGUAAGUUCUCUUGUGAAAGCUCCCGGCUCAACUGGGAGAGGUCAAGGGAAACUGCCAGGCUGGAGUGUGGUAGAGGAAGCUGGAAUUCCGGUGUAGCGGUGAAAUGCGUAGGAUAAUCGGGAGGAACACCUAUGGCGAAAGCAGGCUUCUGGGCCGACUACUGACGCUGAGAAGCGAAAGCAUGGGGAGCGAACAGGA
This 257-nucleotide ribosomal RNA is filed under the name uncultured bacterium. Its description in RNAcentral is "partial 16S ribosomal RNA". It matches the Rfam family "Bacterial small subunit ribosomal RNA", at positions 524 to 777 of the family's 1533-position model. The record is from RNAcentral.